GAUGAACGCUGGCGGCGUGCCUAAUACAUGCAAGUCGAGCGAACAGACGAGGAGCUUGCUCCUCUGACGUUAGCGGCGGACGGGUGAGUAACACGUGGAUAACCUACCUAUAAGACUGGGAUAACUUCGGGAAACCGGAGCUAAUACCGGAUAAUAUAUUGAACCGCAUGGUUCAAUAGUGAAAGACGGUUUUGCUGUCACUUAUAGAUGGAUCCGCGCCGCAUUAGCUAGUUGGUAAGGUAACGGCUUACCAAGGCGACGAUGCGUAGCCGACCUGAGAGGGUGAUCGGCCACACUGGAACUGGGACACGGUCCAGACGCCUACGGGACGCAGCAGUAGGGAAUCGUCCGCAAUAGGCGAAAGCCUGACGGAGCAACGCCGCGUGAGUGAUGAAGGUCUUCGGAUCGUAAAACUCUGUUAUUAGGGAAGAACAAAUGUGUAAGUAACUAUGCACGUCUUGACGGUACCUAAUCAGAAAGCCACGGCUAACUACGUG
RNAcentral lists this ribosomal RNA (497 nucleotides) under uncultured bacterium. RNAcentral's name for it is "partial 16S ribosomal RNA". It matches the Rfam family "Bacterial small subunit ribosomal RNA", at positions 28 to 507 of the family's 1533-position model. The record is from RNAcentral.